RNAcentral lists this ribosomal RNA (253 nucleotides) under uncultured bacterium. RNAcentral describes it as "partial 16S ribosomal RNA". It matches the Rfam family "Bacterial small subunit ribosomal RNA", at positions 524 to 776 of the family's 1533-position model. The record is from RNAcentral.
UACGUAGGGCGCAAGCGUUAUCCGGAAUUAUUGGGCGUAAAGAGUUCGUAGGCGGCGCGGAAAGUAGGGUGUGAAAGCCCUCGGCUCAACCGAGGAAUUGCGCCCUAAACUGUCGCGCUCGAGGAACCUAGAGGUGAGCAGAACUGAUGGUGGAGCGGUGAAAUGCGUUGAUAUCAUCAGGAAUACCGGAGGCGAAGGCGGCUCACUGGGGGUUAUCUGACGCUGAGGAACGAAAGCCAGGGGAGCAAACGGG